RNAcentral lists this ribosomal RNA (253 nucleotides) under uncultured bacterium. RNAcentral describes it as "partial 16S ribosomal RNA". It matches the Rfam family "Bacterial small subunit ribosomal RNA", at positions 524 to 776 of the family's 1533-position model. The record is from RNAcentral.
UACGAAGGGGGCUAGCGUUGUUCGGAAUUACUGGGCGUAAAGCGUAUGCAGGCGGAUCGCUAAGUCAGGGGUGAAAUCCCGAGGCUCAACCUCGGAACUGCCUUUGAUACUGUCGAUCUUGAGUCCGGGAGAGGUGAGUGGAACUGCGAGUGUAGAGGUGAAAUUCGUAGAUAUUCGCAAGAACACCAGUGGCGAAGGCGGCUCACUGGCCCGGUACUGACGCUGAGAUACGAAAGCGUGGGGAGCAAACAGG